RNAcentral lists this ribosomal RNA (1554 nucleotides) under Klebsiella pneumoniae subsp. pneumoniae. RNAcentral's name for it is "bacterial SSU rRNA". It matches the Rfam family "Bacterial small subunit ribosomal RNA". Lineage: Bacteria; Pseudomonadati; Pseudomonadota; Gammaproteobacteria; Enterobacterales; Enterobacteriaceae. The record is from RNAcentral. RNAcentral also lists the same sequence under 1 other name.
ACUUAAAUUGAAGAGUUUGAUCAUGGCUCAGAUUGAACGCUGGCGGCAGGCCUAACACAUGCAAGUCGAGCGGUAGCACAGAGAGCUUGCUCUCGGGUGACGAGCGGCGGACGGGUGAGUAAUGUCUGGGAAACUGCCUGAUGGAGGGGGAUAACUACUGGAAACGGUAGCUAAUACCGCAUAACGUCGCAAGACCAAAGUGGGGGACCUUCGGGCCUCAUGCCAUCAGAUGUGCCCAGAUGGGAUUAGCUAGUAGGUGGGGUAACGGCUCACCUAGGCGACGAUCCCUAGCUGGUCUGAGAGGAUGACCAGCCACACUGGAACUGAGACACGGUCCAGACUCCUACGGGAGGCAGCAGUGGGGAAUAUUGCACAAUGGGCGCAAGCCUGAUGCAGCCAUGCCGCGUGUGUGAAGAAGGCCUUCGGGUUGUAAAGCACUUUCAGCGGGGAGGAAGGCGGUGAGGUUAAUAACCUCAUCGAUUGACGUUACCCGCAGAAGAAGCACCGGCUAACUCCGUGCCAGCAGCCGCGGUAAUACGGAGGGUGCAAGCGUUAAUCGGAAUUACUGGGCGUAAAGCGCACGCAGGCGGUCUGUCAAGUCGGAUGUGAAAUCCCCGGGCUCAACCUGGGAACUGCAUUCGAAACUGGCAGGCUAGAGUCUUGUAGAGGGGGGUAGAAUUCCAGGUGUAGCGGUGAAAUGCGUAGAGAUCUGGAGGAAUACCGGUGGCGAAGGCGGCCCCCUGGACAAAGACUGACGCUCAGGUGCGAAAGCGUGGGGAGCAAACAGGAUUAGAUACCCUGGUAGUCCACGCUGUAAACGAUGUCGAUUUGGAGGUUGUGCCCUUGAGGCGUGGCUUCCGGAGCUAACGCGUUAAAUCGACCGCCUGGGGAGUACGGCCGCAAGGUUAAAACUCAAAUGAAUUGACGGGGGCCCGCACAAGCGGUGGAGCAUGUGGUUUAAUUCGAUGCAACGCGAAGAACCUUACCUGGUCUUGACAUCCACAGAACUUUCCAGAGAUGGAUUGGUGCCUUCGGGAACUGUGAGACAGGUGCUGCAUGGCUGUCGUCAGCUCGUGUUGUGAAAUGUUGGGUUAAGUCCCGCAACGAGCGCAACCCUUAUCCUUUGUUGCCAGCGGUUAGGCCGGGAACUCAAAGGAGACUGCCAGUGAUAAACUGGAGGAAGGUGGGGAUGACGUCAAGUCAUCAUGGCCCUUACGACCAGGGCUACACACGUGCUACAAUGGCAUAUACAAAGAGAAGCGACCUCGCGAGAGCAAGCGGACCUCAUAAAGUAUGUCGUAGUCCGGAUUGGAGUCUGCAACUCGACUCCAUGAAGUCGGAAUCGCUAGUAAUCGUAGAUCAGAAUGCUACGGUGAAUACGUUCCCGGGCCUUGUACACACCGCCCGUCACACCAUGGGAGUGGGUUGCAAAAGAAGUAGGUAGCUUAACCUUCGGGAGGGCGCUUACCACUUUGUGAUUCAUGACUGGGGUGAAGUCGUAACAAGGUAACCGUAGGGGAACCUGCGGUUGGAUCACCUCCUUACCUUAAAGAA